GCCCCGGUAGUGUAGCCCGGCCCAGCAUCCCGGAUUUUCGAAUCCGGAGACUUGCGCUCAGGGUAAAACCAUCCGGCGACCCGGGUUCGAAUCCCGGCCGGGGCACCA
RNAcentral lists this transfer RNA (108 nucleotides) under Candidatus Thorarchaeota archaeon. RNAcentral's name for it is "tRNA-Glu". It matches the Rfam family "tRNA". Rfam says of the family: Transfer RNA (tRNA) molecules are approximately 80 nucleotides in length. Their secondary structure includes four short double-helical elements and three loops (D, anti-codon, and T loops). Further hydrogen bonds mediate the characteristic L-shaped molecular structure. tRNAs have two regions of fundamental functional importance: the anti-codon, which is responsible for specific mRNA codon recognition, and the 3' end, to which the tRNAs corresponding amino acid is attached (by aminoacyl-tRNA synthetases). tRNAs cope with the degeneracy of the genetic code in two manners: having more than one tRNA (with a specific anti-codon) for a particular amino acid; and 'wobble' base-pairing, i.e. permitting non-standard base-pairing at the 3rd anti-codon position. RNAcentral also lists the same sequence under 1 other name. Lineage: Archaea; Promethearchaeati; Candidatus Thorarchaeota. The record is from RNAcentral.